RNAcentral lists this ribosomal RNA (629 nucleotides) under uncultured bacterium. RNAcentral's name for it is "bacterial SSU rRNA". The stretch from base 1 to 539 matches the Rfam family "Bacterial small subunit ribosomal RNA", at positions 338 to 873 of the family's 1533-position model. The record is from RNAcentral.
CCUACGGGAGGCAGCAGUGGGGAAUUUUGGACAAUGGGGGCAACCCUGAUCCAGCAAUGCCGCGUGAGUGAAGAAGGCCUUCGGGUUGUAAAGCUCUUUUGUCAGGGAAGAAACAGCAGCUCUAACACAGCUGUGAAUGACGGUACCUGAAGAAUAAGCACCGGCUAACUACGUGCCAGCAGCCGCGGUAAUACGUAGGGUGCAAGCGUUAAUCGGAAUUACUGGGCGUAAAGCGUGCGCAGGCGGUUAUAUAAGACAGGUGUGAAAUCCCCGGGCUUAACCUGGGAAUUGCAUCUGUGACUGUAUAGCUAGAGUGUGUCAGAGGGGGGUAGAAUUCCACGUGUAGCAGUGAAAUGCGUAGAUAUGUGGAGGAAUACCAAUGGCGAAGGCAGCCCCCUGGGAUAACACUGACGCUCAUGCACGAAAGCGUGGGGAGCAAACAGGAUUAGAUACCCUGGUAGUCCACGCCCUAAACGAUGCUGACUAGUUGUUCGGGAUUUUAUCCUGAGUAACGUAGCUAACGCGUGAAGUCAGCCGCCUGGGGUAGUUAGGUUCGUCGAGAGUUAAACGUUAAAGGUUAAGUUAGACGGACGUUGAGAGNGCGACGGACGACGACGAGGGAGGAGGAG